RNAcentral lists this non-coding RNA (617 nucleotides) under Pongo abelii (Sumatran orangutan). The record is from RNAcentral. Lineage: Eukaryota; Metazoa; Chordata; Mammalia; Primates; Hominidae.
UAGGAAUUUUGCUUUAACUUGUUCCUGCUUGUGGUGCGUACAACAGAAUGAAAUUAACAGUUCUAACUAAUCCCAAAGAAGUUGUAUGUGGGUGGGCUCCCUUCAACUUUAACAUGGAAGUGCUUUCUGUGACUUUAAAAGAAGAUCUGGACCUACCUCAAUUGCUUUUGCUGCUUGUUCUUUUGUUUCAAAUUCCACAAACGCAAAUCCCUUUGGAUCUCCAGUAGACUUAUAAUGUGGUAUACUUAUAUAAACAACAUUGCCACAUUUCCCAAAGACUCUUUCAAUCCAGCUGUGAUUAACAUUUUUGGGAAGUAACUCCUAUUAUAAAUUAAAAGCAAUAUUAGAGUUUUUCACCAUCAGAAUGUCAAUAAAUUUUUAACUUAAUUAUAUUGUUUCUGUGCCAGUUUCUGACUGGGGACUGAGGUUAAGCUUACCACAUACACUGUGCGUUCAUCCUCAUCCUUUGGUCUUUCCCCCAGAGGUUUUUUCCUCCGGAUUCUGGUGCCUUCCAAAUCAAGCUUUAAAAUAGUGUAUUACAUUAAUAAAACUAAUAUUAUUUAUAAUUAUAAACUAUAAUCAUAUAAUAAUGAUUACGUUAACAUUAUAAGCUAUAA